RNAcentral lists this ribosomal RNA (484 nucleotides) under uncultured bacterium. RNAcentral's name for it is "partial 16S ribosomal RNA". It matches the Rfam family "Bacterial small subunit ribosomal RNA", at positions 30 to 507 of the family's 1533-position model. The record is from RNAcentral.
AUUGAACGCUGGCGGCAGGCCUAACACAUGCAAGUCGAGCGGAUGAAGGGAGCUUGCUCCUGGAUUCAGCGGCGGACGGGUGAGUAAUGCCUAGGAAUCUGCCUGGUAGUGGGGGAUAACGUCCGGAAACGGGCGCUAAUACCGCAUACGUCCUGAGGGAGAAAGUGGGGGAUCUUCGGACCUCACGCUCUCAGAUGAGCCUAGGUCGGAUUAGCUAGUUGGUGAGGUAAAGGCCUACCAAGGCGACGAUCCGUAACUGGUCUGAGAGGAUGAUCAGUCACACUGGAACUGAGACACGGUCCAGACUCCUACGGGAGGCAGCAGUGGGGAAUAUUGGACAAUGGGCGAAAGCCUGAUCCAGCCAUGCCGCGUGUGUGAAGAAGGUCUUCGGAUUGUAAAGCACGUUAAGUUGGGAGGAAGGGCAGUAAGUUAAUACCUUGCUGUUUUGACGUUACCAACAGAAUAAGCACCGGCUAACUUCGUG